UACGUAGGGGGCAAGCGUUGUCCGGAUUUAUUGGGCGUAAAGAGCGUGUAGGCGGCUAGGUAGGUCCGUUGUGAAAACUCGAGGCUCAACCUCGAGACGUCGAUGGAAACCAUCUGGCUAGAGUCCGGAAGAGGAGAGUGGAAUUCCUGGUGUAGCGGUGAAAUGCGCAGAUAUCAGGAAGAACACCCGUGGCUAAGGCGGCUCUCUAGUACGGUACUGACGCUGAGACGCGAAAGCGUGGGGAGCGAACAGG
Molecule: ribosomal RNA, 253 nt
Filed under: uncultured bacterium
Lineage: Bacteria
Description: partial 16S ribosomal RNA
Rfam family: Bacterial small subunit ribosomal RNA
Source: RNAcentral